RNAcentral lists this ribosomal RNA (444 nucleotides) under uncultured bacterium. RNAcentral's name for it is "bacterial SSU rRNA". It matches the Rfam family "Bacterial small subunit ribosomal RNA", at positions 28 to 484 of the family's 1533-position model. The record is from RNAcentral.
GACGAACGCUGGCGGCGUGCCUAACACAUGCAAGUCGAACGGAAGUUAGAGCUUCGGUUUUAACUUAGUGGCGAACGGGUGAGUAACGCGUGAGUAACCUGCCUCUGAGAGGGGAAUAACAUUCUGAAAAGAAUGCUAAUACCGCAUAACAUAUAUUUAUCGCAUGGUAGAUAUAUCAAAAGGAUUUUAUCGCUUAGAGAUGGACUCGCGUCCGAUUAGUUAGUUGGUGAGGUAACGGCUCACCAAGACUGCGAUCGGUAGCCGGACUGAGAGGUUGAACGGCCACAUUGGGACUGAGACACGGCCCAGACUCCUACGGGAGGCAGCAGUGGGGGAUAUUGCGCAAUGGGGGAAACCCUGACGCAGCAACGCCGCGUGAAGGAUGAAGGUCUUCGGAUUGUAAACUUCUUUUAUUAAGGACGAAGAAAGUGACGGUACUUAAUG